UACGUAGGGUGCAAGCGUUAAUCGGAAUUACUGGGCGUAAAGCGUGCGCAGGCGGUUGUGCAAGUCCGAUGUGAAAUCCCCGGGCUUAACCUGGGAAUGGCAUUGGUGACUGCACGGCUAGAGUGUGUCAGAGGGGGGUAGAAUUCCACGUGUAGCAGUGAAAUGCGUAGAGAUGUGGAGGAACACCGAUGGCGAAGGCAGCCCCCUGGGUCAAGAUUGACGCUCAUGCACGAAAGCGUGGGGAGCAAACAGG
This 253-nucleotide ribosomal RNA is filed under the name uncultured bacterium. Its description in RNAcentral is "partial 16S ribosomal RNA". It matches the Rfam family "Bacterial small subunit ribosomal RNA", at positions 524 to 776 of the family's 1533-position model. The record is from RNAcentral.